GUGUCAGCAGCCGCGGUAAUACGUAGGGUGCAAGCGUUAAUCGGAAUUACUGGGCGUAAAGCGUGCGCAGGCGGUUCCAUAAGACAGAUGUGAAAUCCCCGGGCUCAACCUGGGAACUGCAUUUGUGACUGUGGAGCUAGAGUACGGUAGAGGGGGAUGGAAUUCCGCGUGUAGCAGUGAAAUGCGUAGAUAUGCGGAGGAACACCAAUGGCGAAGGCAAUCCCCUGGACCUGUACUGACGCUCAUGCACGAAAGCGUGGGGAGCAAACAGGAUUAGAAACCCCCGUAGUCC
This 292-nucleotide ribosomal RNA is filed under the name uncultured Sphaerotilus sp. Its description in RNAcentral is "partial 16S ribosomal RNA". It matches the Rfam family "Bacterial small subunit ribosomal RNA", at positions 505 to 796 of the family's 1533-position model. Lineage: Bacteria; Pseudomonadati; Pseudomonadota; Betaproteobacteria; Burkholderiales; Sphaerotilaceae. The record is from RNAcentral.